GCAGAGUAGAUCCGCAUGCGUACAGUGCCUCAAAGACGGGGAGUUGCUUUGAGGACGAAAGGCAAAGCCUGCGAUGUGCGGAUCGCAUCCCGCUG
This 95-nucleotide non-coding RNA is filed under the name bovine gut metagenome. RNAcentral describes it as "THF riboswitch". It matches the Rfam family "THF (Tetrahydrofolate) riboswitch aptamer". Rfam says of the family: THF riboswitch presents a pseudoknot that joins P1-P2 and the loop of P3 and two THF binding. The record is from RNAcentral.